ACACUCCUACGGGAGGCAGCAGUGGGGAAUUUUGGACAAUGGGCGAAAGCCUGAUCCAGCAAUGCCGCGUGAGUGAAGAAGGCCUUCGGGUUGUAAAGCUCUUUUGUCAGGGAAGAAACGGUGAGAGCUAAUAUCUUUUGCUAAUGACGGUACCUGAAGAAUAAGCACCGGCUAACUACGUGCCAGCAGCCGCGGUAAUACGUAGGGUGCAAGCGUUAAUCGGAAUUACUGGGCGUAAAGCGUGCGCAGGCGGUUUUGUAAGUCUGAUGUGAAAUCCCCGGGCUCAACCUGGGAAUUGCAUUGGAGACUGCAAGGCUAGAAUCUGGCAGAGGGGGGUAGAAUUCCACGUGUAGCAGUGAAAUGCGUAGAUAUGUGGAGGAACACCGAUGGCGAAGGCAGCCCCCUGGGUCAAGAUUGACGCUCAUGCACGAAAGCGUGGGGAGCAAACAGGAUUAGAUACCCCUGUAGUCC
RNAcentral lists this ribosomal RNA (471 nucleotides) under uncultured organism. Its description in RNAcentral is "partial 16S ribosomal RNA". It matches the Rfam family "Bacterial small subunit ribosomal RNA", at positions 333 to 796 of the family's 1533-position model. The record is from RNAcentral.